UGGGGGAUAUUGCACAAUGGGCGAAAGCCUGAUGCAGCGACGCCGUGUGGGGGUUGAAGGCUUUCGCGUUGUAAAUCUCUUUCGCAAUCGAACAAGGCCCGCUUAGGGUGGGUUGAGGGUAGGUGGAGAAGAAGCGCCGGCUAACUAUGUGCCCGCAGCCGCGGUAAUACGUAGGGCGCGAGCGUUGUCCGGAAUUAUUGGGCGUAAAGGGCUUGUAGGCGGCUUGUUGCGCCUGCUGUGAAAACGCGGGGCUUAACUUCGCGCGUGCAGUGGGUACGGGAAGGGGUGAGUGUGGUAGGGGUGAAAGGAAUUCCGGGUGUAACAGGGGAAUGCGCAGAUAUCUGGGGGAACACCGAUGGCGAAGGCAGGUCACUGGGCCAUUACUGACGCUGAAGAGCGAAAGCAUGGGUAGCGAACAGG
This 420-nucleotide ribosomal RNA is filed under the name bacterium. Its description in RNAcentral is "partial 16S ribosomal RNA". It matches the Rfam family "Bacterial small subunit ribosomal RNA", at positions 355 to 776 of the family's 1533-position model. The record is from RNAcentral.